UUUAUGGAGAGUUUGAUCCUGGCUCAGAGUGAACGCUGGCGGCGUGCCUAAUACAUGCAAGUCGAACGAUGAAGCUUCUAGCUUGCUAGAAUGCUGAUUAGUGGCGCACGGGUGAGUAACGCAUAGGUCAUGUGCCUCUUAGUUUGGGAUAGCCAUUGGAAACGAUGAUUAAUACCAGAUACUCCCUACGGGGGAAAGAUUUAUCGCUAAGAGAUCAGCCUAUGUCCUAUCAGCUUGUUGGUAAGGUAAUGGCUUACCAAGGCUAUGACGGGUAUCCGGCCUGAGAGGGUGAACGGACACACUGGAACUGAGACACGGUCCAGACUCCUACGGGAGGCAGCAGUAGGGAAUAUUGCUCAAUGGGGGAAACCCUGAAGCAGCAACGCCGCGUGGAGGAUGAAGGUUUUAGGAUUGUAAACUCCUUUUGUUAGAGAAGAUAAUGACGGUAUCUAACGAAUAAGCACCGGCUAACUCCGUGCCAGCAGCCGCGGUAAUACGGAGGGUGCAAGCGUUACUCGGAAUCACUGGGCGUAAAGAGCGCGUAGGCGGGAUAGUCAGUCAGGUGUGAAAUCCUAUGGCUUAACCAUAGAACUGCAUUUGAAACUACUAUUCUAGAGUGUGGGAGAGGUAGGUGGAAUUCUUGGUGUAGGGGUAAAAUCCGUAGAGAUCAAGAGGAAUACUCAUUGCGAAGGCGACCUGCUGGAACAUCACUGACGCUGAUUGCGCGAAAGCGUGGGGAGCAAACAGGAUUAGAUACCCUGGUAGUCCACGCCCUAAACGAUGGAUGCUAGUUGUUGGAGGGCUUAGUCUCUCCAGUAAUGCAGCUAACGCAUUAAGCAUCCCGCCUGGGGAGUACGGUCGCAAGAUUAAAACUCAAAGGAAUAGACGGGGACCCGCACAAGCGGUGGAGCAUGUGGUUUAAUUCGAAGAUACACGAAGAACCUUACCUAGGCUUGACAUUGAGAGAAUCCGCUAGAAAUAGUGGAGUGUCUAGCUUGCUAGACCUUGAAAACAGGUGCUGCACGGCUGUCGUCAGCUCGUGUCGUGAGAUGUUGGGUUAAGUCCCGCAACGAGCGCAACCCCCUUUCUUAGUUGCUAACAGGUCAUGCUGAGAACUCUAAGGAUACUGCCUCCGUAAGGAGGAGGAAGGUGGGGACGACGUCAAGUCAUCAUGGCCCUUACGCCUAGGGCUACACACGUGCUACAAUGGGGUGCACAAAGAGAAGCAAUACUGCGAAGUGGAGCCAAUCUUCAAAACACCUCUCAGUUCGGAUUGUAGGCUGCAACUCGCCUGCAUGAAGCUGGAAUCGCUAGUAAUCGCAAAUCAGCCAUGUUGCGGUGAAUACGUUCCCGGGUCUUGUACUCACCGCCCGUCACACCAUGGGAGUUGUGUUUGCCUUAAGUCAGGAUGCUAAAUUGGCUACUGCCCACGGCACACACAGCGACUGGGGUGAAGUCGUAACAAGGUAACCGUAGGUGAACCUGCGGUUGGAUCACCUCCUUUCUAGA
This 1509-nucleotide ribosomal RNA is filed under the name Helicobacter pylori. RNAcentral describes it as "bacterial SSU rRNA". It matches the Rfam family "Bacterial small subunit ribosomal RNA". Lineage: Bacteria; Pseudomonadati; Campylobacterota; Epsilonproteobacteria; Campylobacterales; Helicobacteraceae. The record is from RNAcentral.